GCGAUGCCGCGAGGCGGAGCGAAUCUCAAAAAGCCGGUCUCAGUUCGGAUUGGGGUCUGCAACUCGACCCCAUGAAGUCGGAGUUGCUAGUAAUCGCAGAUCAGCAUUGCUGCGGUGAAUACGUUCCCGGGCCUUGUACACACCGCCCGUCACGUCACGAAAGUCGGUAACACCCGAAGCCGGUGGCCCAACCCCUUGUGGGAGGGAGCUGUCGAAGGUGGGACUGGCGAUUGGGACGAAGUCGUAACAAGGUAGCCGUACCGGAAGGUGCGGCUGGAUCACCUCCUUUCUA
Molecule: ribosomal RNA, 292 nt
Filed under: Streptomyces sp. sk2.1
Lineage: Bacteria; Bacillati; Actinomycetota; Actinomycetes; Kitasatosporales; Streptomycetaceae
Description: partial 16S ribosomal RNA
Rfam family: Bacterial small subunit ribosomal RNA
Source: RNAcentral